GGCUCGUUGGUCUAGGGGUAUGAUUCUCGCUUUGGGUGCGAGAGGUCCCGGGUUCAGGUCCCGGGUUCAAAUCCCGGACGAGCCC
This is a non-coding RNA of Cottoperca gobio, 85 nucleotides long. The record is from the annotation of a RefSeq genome assembly. NCBI's taxonomy places the organism in Eukaryota, Metazoa, Chordata, Actinopteri, Perciformes, Bovichtidae.